Long non-coding RNA from Equus caballus (horse), 3233 nucleotides. RefSeq lists it as uncharacterized. The record is from RefSeq and is a predicted model, not a curated record. Lineage: Eukaryota; Metazoa; Chordata; Mammalia; Perissodactyla; Equidae.
GUGAAUAUUUAUUACGUACUUGUUUUAUAGAUGAGAGAAAGGAACUCAACCAAGGUCACGGGGAGAGCUUGGGAAGCGGCUGCAUGACUGAUUCAGGCCUGUCUGACUCCAAAGCCCGGGGUUUCCAGUGUAAUGGAGAUACUUGCUUUGGGACUGGUCAACACGUUGUGUGAAUAUUGCUAACUUUUUGAGACCGAGCUAGUGUGUAGGGCGCAGAGCCAACAUUUUAAAGCUCAGGUUAAAUUCGUCUUGCUCUAGAGAAGGGGAAGUGGGGCCUGUGUGCACAGUGACCUUGAGAAGGGCCUCUGCCUAUUGUGAAGAAUUGGAACCUUAGGUUCAGAGAGUCACGUUUUUCUCAGGUCAAUCGGCUAGGUGGUGGUAGACCCAGUAUUUGAACCCAUAUUUGCUGCCUCCUCUGCUCUGGGUACUGAGAGGAGUCACUGAGGUUGCGGCAAGACUGUGUUUUCCAGACUUUUUCUGAAGGCAGCUGUCUGAAGCCAUGUCUUCUGAAAGGGGCAUAAAUCUCUCCCCUGGACAAGCAAGAGAGUGCGGUGGAGCCAAAGGGAGCAGGGACAGUUUGCUCACGAAUCAAAGAGGCACAAGGGUGUGGGCAGGGACCACAAGGGGCUGGAGGCGGAGCCUGCGCCGAGUCAGCGGCUGAAGGGGAAUCCGAGACUCGCCUGGAAAUCUUUCCUGGGACAGCAGUCCCCUUUUAUAGGCGCUCUGUGGCUUCCACUGCUAUUGGGGAGGGUGGAGUCAAGGUCUCUGAGCCAGAUUGGAGACCUGUCACCCCUUAUCACCAUUUCGUUUGGUUAACACCUAGCCGGCCUCCUCCCCCCCCCGCAACCCUCCAGCGGCCUGUGGUGAAGUCCACACUUGCCAUGUCCUCCAACAGCUCUGCUUGACUCUCCAUACAUCAAUUAUCAUGGUGUUUAAUCCAGUUGGGGUCUAAAUCAGCCAUCUUUUAGGUGAUUGAUAAUGUUGGUGGGCAGCAUUAAUGAGGAGGCAAUUUUUCCCUUGAUCACCAUGACUCUAUUGUGGGUAUUUGUGAAAAUUCCAGAGUCUGUAUAUGACACUUGAGAGAGCUCUGUUUGUGCAGUUUACUGAGCACCUACUGGUGUCAGAUGCUGCUUCAGGGGCUAGCCUUACAUCAGGGAAUAACACAGACGAGACCCCUGCCAUCGGGGAGCUUCCCUGGAGUCAAGGAGGGAUGGGGAGACAAUGAUAAAUAUACGUAAUAAGUAAGCAAAUUAUUUCAUAUGUUAAAAGGCGGUAAGUGUAUAAAAAAAAGUGAGGCAGGGUAAGGAAGAUGGGGUGGGUUGCAACUUUAAAUAGAGUGGUCAUUAGAUUUAAAAUUGCUUAUUAGAAAGGCAAUUAGAAAAGGUACAAUUAGAAAAAAUACAGCACAGAGCAGGCGUGGGAAGGCAUUGGACUGCAAUCUUAAAUUGAGUGCUUGUUAGAAUUAGACUUAUUCAUGUCAAUAUGACUUUCACAAAGUGACUCUAUGUCAUUGUUUUCAUUGUAUGUGUUAGAAAAUAGAAUCUCAUAGAUUCGUCUUCCAUUUCUCUGCUUUCUGUUCUCGUCCCUUCUCCAUUUCCCCUUUUUCUUUCUUCCUCCCUCCUUCUUUGUUUCUUCUAUCUUCCAUUUUCUUGAAACAAAAAAACUCGAAGCCAUGGUGCUUGCCCUCAAGAAACUUCCAAUCCCGUUGAGGAAUAAAGAAGGGCCUAGUAAAACAAUUUGGGAGCAAUAUGUCAAUGAUAGUAUGAAUAAGCUGUGUUCUUAAAAAUGACAGAUAGGUGAAUGAUCAAAAUGAGUGGGAUUAUUUAGGUAACAUUUAGGGGAAGAAAGCAGGUUCAUUUUGAUCUGGGUUGAAGGAACUAAUGGUAGAAAGAAGGGCAUAAAAACGGGCAAGUGCUCAGAAGCAGAGUUCAGCAAGAUGUGCUCAUGGAUUUGUAGAGAGCUCGGCUCGGGUGGAGUGGACAGAUUUAGUUGGAUGAAUGAUCUUGGAGGAAAAACGGCGGAGGGAAUGUAAAUUAAAGAUGUAGAAGGCUGGUCCGAGGGAGGUGGAAUUUUCUCAGUACUCUAUUGAAAGAGCUGAGAAAAUAGAACUCUCUGAAUCUUAAAGCCGCUGAACCAUGUUGAGUAAAGAAAUGACCUCUUUAACCUUACUAAUGAUCAGAAAGUACUUACUGUUCUCAGACUCGUGAUUUAUUAUGUAAAUUAGAAUAUAUAUAUAUAUAUAUUUAGAGAGAGAGACAUACUAUAUGUGGCUAUGGAUGUACAGAGGGUAUAGUUUUCUUUGGGGACAUCCAUUUCCGUUUUCUCUCCCUCUUACUUACAGUCUCUCUCUCUCUUGCCUAUUGACUUUCUCUUUGGUAGUGUCCUUCUUAGUUUGGUUUUUUUUUAUGUUCAACUGACUGUACUGGCUAUCUUUGAAGUUAAGGAGAAAGUUCAGGAUUGAGACGUAUCUUUCAAAGAACUGGAACAGAAUUUAGAAUGGCAUGCCCUUAACCUCCACCUUAAUGUCCCUUUAGCAAUGCAGUAAUAGAGUUCUUUAUACUUCAACUCCUACUUAUUUUCGCCUUUAUGUUUCUGCCCAUUCAUUUCAUGCAGCUCCUGAGUUGACUUUUCCAUGGGCCAUCUGGACUGUUUACCACACAGCCCAUCAGGAGCGCUGUUCCUGUGCAGCUGCCCAAGAGGGGAAUUCUUUCAUCUUGGUUACAUGAUCCAGGCUUGUUUCUCUCCCAGAUACAUCUUAAAAUAUCUUAUUUGUGAGUGUUGUAAAUUUUUAUUUCUUUCUUGUUUUCAGGACUGUUUCUACUGUGGGCGUGCUUCAUUGCCAUGGCGCUUGUGACAAUGACAGAGUUGCUGACGAGCCUGGAGUGGACUGAUUUGAGCUGGUUCUUGGCCCAUUCAUCAUUUGUUUAACAGGUGUUUGUGAAGCACCUGCUCUGUGUGGAACACUGCACACAGUUGGCUGCCGGCUCAGAACCCAUGGAUGAAUACCAUCUGGUCCCAAUGAUUUACUGCACAGAGUCCCUCAAGUUGCUCCAUACCUCUCUCCUCAGAGACCGAAGAAUCUCUGUCAAGGCCGUUCUCGGCUUUGCCAUAAAAUGUGUCCUUGGAACAGGAAUUUCCCCAUUGUCUUCUCCAAUAAAUACUGAUUCAAAGUGUUCAUUUAGCCGCUCCUCUGCCUCGUCAUUCCAUUUAGUACUCUCCGUCUCCUAAUGAAA